UGAAGGCUGAAAUUCGCCUUCAUGAAGUCGGAAUUGCUAGUAAUGGCAGGUCAGCAUACUGCCGUGAAUACGUUCCCGGGCCUUGUACACACCGCCCGUCACACCAUGAGAGUUGGAGAUACCCCGAAGCCUAUGAGCUAACUUUUAGAGGCAGUAGUCGAAGGUAGAAUCAAUGAUUGGGGUGAAGUCGUAACAAGGUACC
RNAcentral lists this ribosomal RNA (202 nucleotides) under uncultured bacterium. RNAcentral's name for it is "partial 16S ribosomal RNA". It matches the Rfam family "Bacterial small subunit ribosomal RNA", at positions 1299 to 1500 of the family's 1533-position model. The record is from RNAcentral.